Molecule: ribosomal RNA, 229 nt
Filed under: uncultured bacterium
Lineage: Bacteria
Description: partial 16S ribosomal RNA
Rfam family: Bacterial small subunit ribosomal RNA
Source: RNAcentral
UGCGUAGGCGGUUUCGCAAGUCAGAGGUGAAAUGUCUCGGCUCAACCGGGAACCUGCCUUUGAAACUGCGAGACUUGAGGGCGUGAGAGGAGACUGGAAUUCCUAGUGUAGCGGUGAAAUGCAUAGAUAUUAGGAAGAACACCAGUGGCGAAGGCGAGUCUCUGGCACGCUCCUGACGCUGAGGCACGAAAGCCAGGGGAGCGAACAGGAUUAGAUACCCUGGUAGUCC